CCGGUUUGGCUCGUUGAGUUCCUUGUGAGUCUAUCCCGUUUCCCUUUUCAUCAUUAUCCUUUCUUUUUUUAAAAAAAAAGAAAUAUUAUUAACAAAUAAAUCGUUUUAAAAAUUUCUCCUGCCAGACUUUUAAGCCUCGGACGGUUGCAGAUUAAUUUUGAUAAAAGCGAAGGACGUGCCGGCUAAAAUGGCGUCUACCGUCGUUCCCCCCGCCGGCGAGGAAAGCAAGGUUCAGCAGCACCGCCAGCGCCAUGGGCGCCACCAAAGGACGUCGCCGCGGACGCCGAAGAGGAGCUGGCCCUCGAACUCGUCCUCUUGCAGCAACGGCACGGCCGCCGCCCCCAAGUGCGUGUGCGCCCCGGCGACGCAUGCCGGCUCGUUCAAGUGCCGCCUCCACAGGGUAAAUUCUCAUGGCCAUUCGGCGCCCGUCGCUCCUUUACCUCAGGAGCCGCCCGUCUCGGCUUCAUCCACUCGGACUGUUGAGGCACUGUGAAAAUUAAUAAUAACAAAUGAACUAAAGAACUGGUUACUGGUGACAUGAGCUACAAGAAGAAAAAAAUGUAUAUCUACCUACCUACCUUUCCACCUUUCCCAGAUCUUUGUGAAUGGGUGGCUUUGCACUGUCGGUCGUGUAAUGAAAGCAGAUAGUGGAUGGAUGUUUUUGCGAGAGCAGAUGCUUAAUGAUAUUUGUUUCUUUGUGGAAGGGCUUGAAAGCAGUUUUACGAAGAUUGCAUUUGUGAUGUGGAUUUUAUAGAAUUCCCAUAUCAAAAGCAUUGUUUGGAUGGAUGGAUGAAUGAAUGAAUGGGAUGCUUUGGACCAUGAGGCAAAUAUGGGUUUAUGCGUGAUGCUUCUGUAAAGUGGAAUGCAUUAUGUGUAUGAGAAGUCCCCUGAAUUCAAGCGUUUCUUUAGCUCCUAGAUCUGGCCAUGAGUUGUAAGUACCCUUCCCCUGUUAAAUUUCCGCAUUCUUUCCCUUCCCAGCAUAAUACUGUCUAUUUCUCCGCUUCAUGUGGUCAUGCUCAUCUCUAGAUAAGAUGUCUUAUUUACUUGGAUUGGUAGAACUUUCACCUUUUCAGCUGGUAUUCUUGAUGAUUCUUUUCGGAAAUUCUUAUAACCUUCAUAACACAAAUAUAUAUACUGUUCAUGUUUGUUGAUAGGUCUUAGCAUUGUUGAUAAUGCCAGAACAAUCAUUAAUCAAGGAGUUAAUGCUUUCAGGAUAAUAGCGAUUCUGGUUUACUUAGCUUUUGGAACUUCCACCUGGUUAAUAAUAAAGAAAUCAGGUAAGUGUGAAAUGGAAGGAAAGGUGCAGUCAAAGACCUUUUUGUGAUCCAUUGUUUAAUGUCUAAAUUUUAGUUUUUUAUUAGUACAAUUUGUUCAUCUUUUAGGAGCCAUUUUGAUAUAUCUCACUCUCAGACUCUCUUAUUAGAUUUCAUGUGCCAUUUACUAAGCAAAGGUUUAUAAAUAUAGUAUAUAUGUAUAUAAGCAUGCUGAUAUAAACAUACAUAUACACAUCUACAUUGAUCACCUGUAUAGAUUCAUACAUGUAUAAUCUUGUUUGUUAUGUAUGCAUAGUUCAUAUAUGCAUGUGUACAUACAGAUGAUGGUCUAGAUGAGGUUUGCCUAAGCAUCUUCUUGUCUGUAUGAAGCUCAAGCACCUAUGCAAUUGCUAGCAACAACUAGGUGUUCAUCUAGGACAUUCAAUGGAAGGUUCUAUAAGGUUUUAUUCAUUGUCCCGGGAAGCAGAAUAGCACCUUUUGUGCCUUUAAAAGUUGAUGCUGAUUGUAGAAUCCUUCACAGUUACCGGGAUUGAGUCAAAGAAAAAAUCGGGAAUCAACUUGCUACAAAAGUCCAGGACACAUCCAACUUUACUCCAGCUCUUGAAAAUUUGUCAUUUGGAAUUUGAAUGAUUUAUAGAUUUUAGAGAGAAUUCAUGAGAACAUGAUGAGUUCCUUGAUUCCCUUUACCAGAAAAAAUCACAUUUUUGUGGCCUUGUGCUUAGAGCAAGUGGUUUGCAUGCCCCCCUCCUUGUCAAUGGACACCAAAAACAAAAGGCUGCUAUCAUAUGCUUCUUGUUGCAGUUAUGUUUAUCAUGGCAAUAACAAAAUCUUUUAUUUGCUGUCUGAAAAAGUUGUAGAAUCAGAAUAUGAAUGUUUUUGAGUAGAGAAAUCAAUAUAUUGUCGUCGCAAGAUUUGAAAUACAGAAGACUGUGUUUAUGGGAUGUGUAUGGGCUGCUUUCCUGCUGCAUCAACUGUCUUGGACUGGUUAUUAUCUUUUAUGUCUGAUGAAGAGGACAGACUAGUUAUUAUCUUCUAUGACGGAUGAAGAGGACAGACUAGCUUUUCCAUGAUAUCAUGAAACUUCUUCUCCUAGUUUCCAGGGUACAUGCUUUUAAGGCCAUGUAUUUUGGAUGGCCUGAGGGAUGCUAUCAAGGUGAUCUUUAUGGUACCAAAGGUGGCCAUUGUGAUUCUUAGAGUUACUGUAGUGUAUAUUAGUUUCAUGUCCCAAUGAGAGAGUGUUGACUCUUUUAUAAUCUGUUCAAAACAAAUAUGACUGCUUAAAAUUUUUGAUGAAAUUCUGUUCAGAUCUAUCUUAGAUCUGAAAUAUCCUCACUGUUUUCUUUGUGGACAGCAAGAAUUACAACUGAGAGCAAGAUUUUAAAUUUCACAGAGGUUGGUCCCAGCUUGAUCAAAAUUUUGAUUUUGGUAUUUUUUUUGCUGGUUUCAGCCAAAUUUCUGUUAGUUUGGACCAGUUUUGGCAGUUUCAGCUGGUUUUGCUCAGUUUCGGUCGCUUUCAUACGGUUAUUGCUGAAACUAAUAGGAAUUUUCUCCUUUUUUGCAUAACAAAUGCAUGUCUUUAAUGUCGUCUUUGGUUAUCUUUCUUUGAAUUUCUUAACUGAUUUCUUUACUAAUUAGAGAACAUUAUGUGUUAGUAGGCUUCUAUUUUCUUUCUUCAAUGUCUUUUCUUAUAAAUAAAAUGAAAUAUUGAAAGGAAGUAUUGAAAUAAAAAUGAUUUUUUAUUUAGAUGGGUUUUGUCUUGCUUAGAUAAGUUAUUAGAAGGACAUAGAAUGGAAUAUGCUUGCAUGUCUAUUUUUCCCUAGACAGGUUAUUAGUUUUUAUCAAUUUUAUGCUUUGUGGCAUUUGAAUAGGUAUAUGCAAUUGAUUCUAUUCACUUGUUUUGUUUCUUUAUGCUUGAUGGAGUGAUUUUAGUAUUUAUACUAAAUAGAUUAGUAUUAUUGUAAUCUACUUAAUGCGUUAAGCUUCUAUAUGGUUUAAAUCUAGCCUAACAUUACUCAAAUUACAUAAAUUAUGAUUUAAAACAUGAAAAAGUAUAUGAAAUAGAUCAUCUUAACUUUAUUCAUAUUUUUUCCUUUUUUGAUUUUUUUUUCUUACUUUUUUGGUCAAAACUUUGAAACUUGAGAGAAACUGUCAAAAUCACCGAAACUGCUAAAACCAAAAAAAUGCCUUGGGGACCAAAGUCGAAAAUGAAACCAAAUUAUAAAACCUUGCAUAGGAGAGAAAGUCCUAUCCCUAUCCACACAAAGACUUAGGACCAAAUGUGAAAAAAUACAAUAAAAUAAGUUAUUUGAAACUGAUUUGUUUUGGCUGAGGUUGAUUUAUUUCUACUGAAAUGCAUUGGUUUUAUAUAUGUUUUAGCUGAUAUUGAUUGGAAACUUGUUGAAAUUUUUUUGUUGUGGUUGGUUUUGGUCGGUUUUGUCUGGUUUCGGCAGCUUCAAUGAUUCCAUGGCUUUUUUCUUACAUUGGAAGUGGGUCAAGUGCAAGUGCGGGGAAGCAGGACUCUUAAAAAUUUAACAAGAUUAUGCUUAGGAAGUGGAUGUGGGCACAAGUUUUCGAGGAGAUUCAGUAUUAGAUGCACCACUCUAAAUGGAAAAUUCUUGCUUAGAUUGUUUGGUAAACUAAAUUGACUUAUGCAUUUGUAAUUAAAACUAUGCUGGAUGAGUAUUUUCUUAGAUAGACUAUUAAUUUUAUAUUUGUGGAAUCGCAUAUGCAAUUGUAAUUAAAAUUAUACUCUUAUGUACUUGUCUUAAUUAUGCUUGUCUAAGUAAUGUAUGGUAUUUAUUGAUUA
Phoenix dactylifera (date palm) is the source of this 4080-nucleotide non-coding RNA. NCBI's taxonomy places the organism in Eukaryota, Viridiplantae, Streptophyta, Magnoliopsida, Arecales, Arecaceae. The record is from RefSeq and is a predicted model, not a curated record.